AGUGAACGUUGGCGGCGUGGAUUAGGCAUGCAAGUCGAGCGAGAGCCGUAGCAAUACGGGGACAGCGGCGAAAGGGACAGUAAUGUGUAGGUACCUACCCCGAGGUCUGGGAUAGCUGCGGGAAACUGCGGGUAAUACCGAAUAAUGUCUCCGGACCAAAGGUGUGAUUCCACCUGGGGAGGGGCCUGCAUCCUAUUAGCUUGUUGGUGGGGUAACGGCCUACCAAGGCGACGAUGGGUAGCGGGUGAGAGAGCAUGACCCGCGUCAUUGGGACUGAGACACUGCCCAGACACCUACGGGUGGCUGCAGUCGAGAAUCUUCGGCAAUGGGCGCAAGCCUGGCCGAGCGACGCCGCGUGCGGGAUGAAGGCCUUCGGGUUGUAAACCGCUGUCGUAGAGGAGGAAAUGCAGGGGGGUUCUCCCCUUUGCUUGACCUAUUCUAGGAGGAAGUACGGGCUAAGUUCGUGCCAGCCGCCGCCGUAA
Molecule: ribosomal RNA, 482 nt
Filed under: uncultured bacterium
Lineage: Bacteria
Description: partial 16S ribosomal RNA
Rfam family: Bacterial small subunit ribosomal RNA
Source: RNAcentral